GCGGGUAUAGUUGAAUGGUACAACUUCUCUUUGCCAAGGAGAAGGUGCGGGUUCGAUUCCCGCUAUCCGCC
This 71-nucleotide transfer RNA is filed under the name Cymbaria daurica. RNAcentral describes it as "tRNA-Gly". It matches the Rfam family "tRNA". From Rfam's summary of the family: Transfer RNA (tRNA) molecules are approximately 80 nucleotides in length. Lineage: Eukaryota; Viridiplantae; Streptophyta; Magnoliopsida; Lamiales; Orobanchaceae. The record is from RNAcentral.